Molecule: transfer RNA, 72 nt
Filed under: Ornithorhynchus anatinus (platypus)
Lineage: Eukaryota; Metazoa; Chordata; Mammalia; Monotremata; Ornithorhynchidae
Rfam family: tRNA
About the family: Transfer RNA (tRNA) molecules are approximately 80 nucleotides in length. Their secondary structure includes four short double-helical elements and three loops (D, anti-codon, and T loops).
Source: Rfam by way of RNAcentral
AGCAGCGUGGCUCAGUGGAAAGAGCCCCGACUUGGGCGUCAGGGGUCAUGGGUUUGAAUCCCAGCUCUGCUA